UGCUUAUCUUACUUGCCAAUUAGUGGGGGAUAACUCUGGUGCGCCAGAACUAAUACCGCAUUUGUUGCUUCGGCAAUGAAAGGGAAUCGCAAGAUUUUCGCUAAUUGAUAGGGAUAAGUCGUAUUAGUUUGUUGGAGGGGUAAUGGCCUACCAAGACGAUGAUGCGUAGCCGGGCUGAGAGGCUGAUCGGCCACAAGGGAACUGAGACACGGUCCCUACUCCUACGGGAGGCAGCAGUGAGGAAUUUUCGGCAAUGGGGGAAACCCUGACCGAGCAAUACUACGUGAAGGAGGAAGGUCUACGGAUUGUAAACUUCUGUUAGUGCGGAAGAAGGGCUGAAUGCAAGUUCGGCCUUGACGGUACGCACAGAGAAAGCCACGACUAACUACGUGCCAGCAGUCGCGGUAAGACGUAGGUGGCGAACGUUAUCCGGAAUUAUUGGGCGUAAAGGGUGCGUAGGCGGCGGAAUAAGUUAGUGGUGGAAAAUCGGGGCUCAACCUCGUGGAAGUCAUUAAUACUGUUUUGCUAGAGGACAGGAGAGGUUAACGGAAUUCCCUGUGGAGCGGUAAAAUGUGUAGAUAUAGGGAAGAACACCAAUAAGGCGAAGGCAGUUAACUAUUCUGUUCCUGACGUUGAGGCACGAAAGCGUGGGGAGCAAAUAGGAUUAGAUACCCUAGUAGUCCACGCCCUAAACGAUGAGUGCUAGACAUUGGAAACUUGAUUUUCAGUGUCGCUAGAUAACUCGGUAAGCACUCCGCCUGGGUAGUACGUUCGCAAGAGUGAAACUCAAAGGAAUUGACGGGGACUCGCACAAGCACUGGAGCAUGUGGUUUAAUCCGAUGCAACGCGUAGAACCUUACCAAGGCUUGACAUGUUUGGCAAAACUGUGGAAACACAGCGGAGGUUAUCCAAACACAGGUGCUGCAUGGCCGUCGUCAGUUCGUGCCGUGAGGUGUAUGGUUAAGUCCUAUAACGAACGCAACCCUUGGGCUUAGUUGCCAGCAUUCAGUUGGGGACUCUAGGCCGACUGCCUGAGUAAUCAGGAGGAAGGAAAGGAUC
RNAcentral lists this ribosomal RNA (1059 nucleotides) under Candidatus Moeniiplasma glomeromycotorum. RNAcentral describes it as "bacterial SSU rRNA". It matches the Rfam family "Bacterial small subunit ribosomal RNA", at positions 114 to 1181 of the family's 1533-position model. The record is from RNAcentral. Lineage: Bacteria; Bacillati; Mycoplasmatota; Mollicutes; Mycoplasmatales; Mycoplasmataceae.